CAUAGUUUCGUGUGUUUUUAAUAGCUUGAGCAAUUUCAUUACUACUCCAUUACACUACGACAAAUACGUGAAAAAUGGUUUCUCGAGCUGGUUUGGAAUACAAUCGAGGAUGCUGGGAAUUAGAUAAACAAGCUAAGGAGAAAGUGUUAUGUCUGUGAUCCGUUCAUUCGCAUCUCAGUGUUGCUGUUUUAAACAUGUGAUUUACAAAAGGAGGUGAAUGAAAACAGAAGUAGUUGGUCGUACGCAUUGUAUUUUCAAACUAAUAACGAACGAAAAACGUAAACAGAAGACAUACACAUCCUGUGGCUCUCAAGGCCUAAACCUAUCGAUACCUUUUCAUACUUUCGCAUUGCUUAAAAUCGUUUAGUACGAAUAAGUUCUCGUUCGAGAGACGGUGAAAUAUUUCGCGCGACGUUUUGCUUGCAUCGGAAACAGAUAAUUUAUACAUUCAUUUACUCCAUUAUUUUUCACUUUUGCUGCACAAUAUUAAGAGGAUACUUUUUUAUCGUAUUUUUUUCAAGAAAGAACUGAAUCCUGUUUUUUGUUCAUUUUUCGUUAAUUUCGAAUAAUUAAUUUCGAAUAAUUUUGAGAGGUUCCCACUCUUUUUCUUAUUCUCAAACUCCAAAAAGGAAGAAUUUUUUUCUAUUCCACAUAUAUUCCUCUACUUUUCUCAUUUGCAAUUUAACAAAAUAAUAAUUUCGUUCGAUUUUCUUUUUUUUGCGACAUUAAAUUUCCUUUUUCAUUUCUUUCCUUCUGUUUUCCAUUUUCCUCGAUAAAAUAGAGUUAACAGACUCACCCCCGCGGAAAAAAUCAAAACACGAUGCGAUACCAACGACUUCGAUGGUCGAUGCAGAUUCCCUCGAAUCUGUUGGCUUGGCAAACGAGGAUAGCCUUAAUACAGAGUUAAUGAAAUUAAGAGGCGUAAGUAUCGAUGAUCCCGAUGAUAUCGAUACUGAUAGCCGUAUGGAUACGGAUAUUAACGAGUUAGCUACGGAAUCAGUAACUCCCGCCGAGAUUUCUCAAGAUUCGCAAAAAAAACUCAAAAUCGCAGCGCCGAGAAUCGCUUGAUGGGAAAUAUUUUAAAGUCGAUCUGAACAAUUCAGUGCUAAGUGGUGGAAUUAUAGCUAUAUGCCAGCUCUGUACACCACCAAAAUCAUACAAAGGAGGGAGCAUUAGAACGACGUCGAACUUUACGUCACAUCUCAAACCCUAAAUAUAAAAAAAUCUAAUAAGAAAUUGGAGCACAUUACGCGUUAUUCUAUAAACAAGCGGAUAAACAAGAUGUGUACGAUAAGCGCUGCAGAAAUUCGCGAAGCAAUGGUCGCAAUAGCAAAUGAUGAUGGGUUCAUCCGUACGACAGCAGAUGUAUGGACAGGAAUAAAGCGUCGGUUUCUCGGUGUAACAGUGUCAUAGAUUGAUCCACAAACACUGACCCGUAAAUCCGCAGCUAUUGCAUGCAGACGGUUUGCCGGGACACACUCUUUCGACGCCAUUGCAACCAAAGCAAAUUCAUUCGUCAUUUGCUUUGAUCCCGUUAAAUAUCAGAGUAACUGUGACGGACAAUGGGUCAGAUUUUGUGAAAGCUUUCCGAGAAUUCGGUGUCGAUGUCUCGGAUCAAUUGCUGGCUGAUGAAUUAAUGGAUGAAAUCGAUUCAAGCGAUGAAUUCAGAGGUACGGAUCCUGAAAACCAGACCGAGACCGAAAUUUCAGAGGAAGAUCGUGUAGAGCCAGACGAGAAUUUCAGCCACGCGUGUGAAAAAAAAUUACCCCAGCACCUUAGAUGUGUUAGUCACACGCAACACCUCGUCGCAAUGACUGAUCCCUUGAGAGCGAUUCAUAAUUCGAAACAAUUGCAAAAGAUACAUUUUCAAGUCUUAAACAAAUGCAAAAUUCUCUGGAAAUGCCAACGCUCGCCAAAACAAAAUAAGACUCUACGCAACUGUUUGGGAAUUGCUCUCAAGAGACCAAUUAUAAUUCGCUGGAACUCCCUUCAUGAUGCUUCAAAGCAAAUAUUGCGAGUGAAAGAAAAGCUGCAAAAUAAUUCGCAUAUUGUCGCGGGAAAUUCGAAUUGGGAACUUGAAAACAGCGAUUUUUAAUAUUUGGAAGAGUACGUACCAUGCACGAGAGAUCUUGUACUCGCAAUGGAUCGCUCGCAAAGCGAUGAUUGUCAUUAUGGAAUUCUCCUGCCAACAAUGAUUUCACUAAAAAAUAAAGUGCAAAAUUUAUUGCGCAAUAACGGGGUCAUUAUUUGAAGACCGCCCAUAGAAACAAUAAGUGGAAUGAUGUCCAAAUUCAAGUGGGCGUGUAACGCCAGCGUUAAUGCUAGUUUCAUAAAAAUAACGCAUCAAUUAACGUCUAGUUUGAUUUUUAUUUGAAUGAGCAAUUUGAAUG
This 2390-nucleotide unclassified non-coding RNA is filed under the name Venturia canescens. RNAcentral's name for it is "uncharacterized LOC122415452, transcript variant X7". Lineage: Eukaryota; Metazoa; Arthropoda; Insecta; Hymenoptera; Ichneumonidae. The record is from RNAcentral.